This 484-nucleotide ribosomal RNA is filed under the name uncultured bacterium. RNAcentral describes it as "partial 16S ribosomal RNA". It matches the Rfam family "Bacterial small subunit ribosomal RNA", at positions 30 to 507 of the family's 1533-position model. The record is from RNAcentral.
AUUGAACGCUGGCGGCAGGCCUAACACAUGCAAGUCGAGCGGAUGAAGGGAGCUUGCUCCUGGAUUCAGCGGCGGACGGGUGAGUAAUGCCUAGGAAUCUGCCUGGUAGUGGGGGAUAACGUCCGGAAACGGGCGCUAAUACCGCAUACGUCCUGAGGGAGAAAGUGGGGGAUCUUCGGACCUCACGCUAUCAGAUGAGCCUAGGUCGGAUUAGCUAGUUGGUGGGGUAAAGGCCUACCAAGGCGACGAUCCGUAACUGGUCUGAGAGGAUGAUCAGUCACACUGGAACUGAGACACGGUCCAGACUCCUACGGGAGGCAGCAGUGGGGAAUAUUGGACAAUGGGCGAAAGCCUGAUCCAGCCAUGCCGCGUGUGUGAAGAAGGUCUUCGGAUUGUAAAGCACUUUAAGUUGGGAGGAAGGGCAGUAAGUUAAUACCUUGCUGUUUUGACGUUACCAACAGAAUAAGCACCGGCUAAAUUCGUG